RNAcentral lists this long non-coding RNA (394 nucleotides) under Equus caballus (horse). RNAcentral describes it as "lncRNA (ENSECAG00000055986.1)". The record is from RNAcentral. Lineage: Eukaryota; Metazoa; Chordata; Mammalia; Perissodactyla; Equidae.
CCCAGAGCCCAGGGCCGGUCAGGAGCUGGAUAGGCUGGGCUUGGCGGUGGAAGCACCAGUGGCAGAAUAUUAACUACCAACUCCUGGACAAGAGGAAGAGCCAUCUGGUUCCCCUGCGCCCAAUGUGAGGAAACAGGCUCCAGGUUCAUCACAUGGUGGUCCCAAGGCCGACUUGUGCAAGCCAGGAUGACAGGAGGACGGCCUGGGAGCACUGCUCGAUCCCAUAGCCCUUCCCUGUGGCUGAAGAUGAUCCAUCUUCGCCCUGUCUCCUGAGGUCUCCGUGUUUCUGCCCUUCACGGCCCAAAUAAAGCAGCUUUUGCCUCUCUCUGGCCCUCUCCACUUUGCAGGUCAACAGAUAUUUACUGAGCACCCUCUAUUGGAAAAUAACCCUGAG